CGACGUGGCUCAACGGCAGAGCAGCUGAUUUGUAAUCAGCAGGUUGCCGGUUCGAAUCCGGCCGUCG
RNAcentral lists this transfer RNA (67 nucleotides) under bovine gut metagenome. It matches the Rfam family "tRNA". From Rfam's summary of the family: Transfer RNA (tRNA) molecules are approximately 80 nucleotides in length. Their secondary structure includes four short double-helical elements and three loops (D, anti-codon, and T loops). The record is from RNAcentral.